Molecule: ribosomal RNA, 776 nt
Filed under: uncultured Neocallimastigales
Lineage: Eukaryota; Fungi; Neocallimastigomycota; Neocallimastigomycetes; Neocallimastigales
Description: partial large subunit ribosomal RNA
Rfam family: Eukaryotic large subunit ribosomal RNA
Source: RNAcentral
UUAUGUGAUCGUCUCUCGCAUAUCAAUAAGCGGAGGAAAAGAAACUAACAAGGAUUCCCCUAGUAACGGCGAGUGAAGCGGGAAGAGCUCAAAUUUGAAAUCUUAAAGGGUUUCCCUUUACGAAUUGUAGUUUAAAGAAGUGUUUUCUGUUGAGGUUUUGGUAAAAGUUCUUUGGAAUAGGACAUCAUAGAGGGUGAGAAUCCCGUAUUUGACCUUUACUUUCAACUUUGUGAUACACUUUCAAAGAGUCGGAUUGUUUGGGAAUGCAGUCCAAAAUGGGUGGUAAAUUUCAUCUAAAGCUAAAUAUUGGCGAGAGACCGAUAGCGAACAAGUACCGUGAGGGAAAGAUGAAAAGAACUUUGAAAAGAGAGUUAAACAGUACGUGAAAUUGUCAAAAGGGAAGCGUUUGACACCAGUGUUGUUUUUCUGAAAAUCAAUUAAAGAACUGUUUACUGCUAAGUUGUUUAGACUUUAUCAGCUAACUGUUUAGUUUUGAGCUUUUCUUUAAUGCACUUUUCAGUUAACAAGUCAACAUCAAUUUCUUUUGCUGUAAAAAAGCUUGAGGAAGGUGGCUUGAGAUUCGUCUUAAGUGUUUAUAGCCUCUUGCCUAUGCAGUCGGAGAGAUUGAGGUCUGCAGCGUAGAUCCUUCGGGGCUAAAUGCAUUUGUGCUAAGUUAUAGCAUUUUAUAGACAACUUGUUGACUAUGAUUUGUCCUGUAGCUUACUCGCUUAUGUUAUUUUACCUACGCUUAGGAUGUUGAUCUACAGAGCGAGAGU